RNAcentral lists this ribosomal RNA (484 nucleotides) under uncultured bacterium. RNAcentral describes it as "partial 16S ribosomal RNA". It matches the Rfam family "Bacterial small subunit ribosomal RNA", at positions 28 to 523 of the family's 1533-position model. The record is from RNAcentral.
GACGAACGCUGGCGGCGUGCUUAACACAUGCAAGUCGAACGACGAAGCUGGAGCUUGUUCCGGUGGAUUAGUGGCGAACGGGUGAGUAACACGUGUGCAAUCUGCCCUUGACUCUGGGAUAACUGCGGGAAACUGUAGCUAAUACCGGAUAAUUUCACUGGAAGGCAUGUUCUGGUGAACAAAGAAUUUCGGUCAAGGAUGAGCUCGCGGCCUAUCAGCUUGUUGGUGAGGUAACGGCUCACCAAGGCGACGAGUGGAAGCCGGCCUGAGAGGGGAGCCGGCCACACUGGGAAUGAGAAGCGGCCCAUACUCCGACGUGGGGCGGGAGUGGGGAGUAUUGCACAAUGGGCGCGAGGCUGAUGCAGCAACGCCGCGUGAGGGAUGAAGGCCUGCGGGUUGUAAACCACUUUUAGCCGGGAAGAAGCGAAAGUGACGGUACCUGCAUAACAAGCACCGGCUAACUACGUGCCAGCAGCCGCCGUAA